Solanum pennellii is the source of this 1214-nucleotide long non-coding RNA. RefSeq lists it as uncharacterized. NCBI's taxonomy places the organism in Eukaryota, Viridiplantae, Streptophyta, Magnoliopsida, Solanales, Solanaceae. The transcript has 2 exons. The record is from RefSeq and is a predicted model, not a curated record.
UUCACAUCACUUUCUAUAUAUUAUUAUCUAUCUCCCACUCCAUUUUCUUCAAAUAACAACCACACAACAUGAAGAUACUUCCCUUUUUUCUUCUUGUCAUUUUUCUACUUGAAAUAACAAUUUCUGUUGAGUCCCAAACUCCAGCACUCUUAAAAUAUGUACUUCAAUGGCCACCUACUUUUUGUUUUCAACUUAAUUCCAAAGAAGCAAAAUUUUGCAAAGAACCAAUUCCUCAAAAUAAAUUCACACUCCAUGGUGUUAUGCAAGCAAAUGAAGAUGGAUUUAACAUAAAAUGUGACUAUAACAAAAAGAUCCAAAUGAUUUGGAUAAUGUGGCAUGUAUACAUACAUAUUCAGAGUUUAAGUUUUAUGCACUGACAAUACGUGUUACAUUUUUAUGGCAUUGUUUGUAGUUGGAAGAAGUGGAAAGUGAUCUAGUAAAGUUCUGGCCCUCGCUUAGAGAAGAGUUAUGGAAGCAUGAGUGGCGCGUCGAUGGAUCAUGUGGAGGAACAACACCUCAAGAGUACUUCUACAAAGCAAUAAUGAUGAAUCACAUACCUGAAAAAGGAAACUUGUAUAAUUACUUGGAAUCAAGUGAGAUUAUUGCAAGUGAUGACUUGGCUUAUACAAAACAACAUAUUGUUGAGGCUAUACAAAAGUUGGUUUUAUGAAGUUCCUUUUGUAGAUCAUAAACCACAUUAUAAUGUUUACCUCUCUUGUGUUCCAAUUGAUUCAUAUAACAAUACUCAUGUUUACUUGAGUGAGGUUGCUUGGUGCACUGAACUUGAAGGUGUUCAAUACAUUUCAUGUCCAUCAAAAGCUAAUCCAACAAGUUGCCCUAAAGAAGCCCUAAUUAUGCUCCCUCUUGAUUAUAUUGAUGUCGAAGAAAGAACGUACCUUUGGAGGCGAAGGACGAGGAACAAUAAUAUUUUGAACACGACAACGUUUGUUAAUGAGAGAAGUUGGACAAUCCACAAAAUCCUUUGCUUCAUCUGUGUAGCAAAAUGUAACUUGAUUCAAAUAAGCAUGAGUUGUGUUAAUGUCUUUGCAAGUGAAAUACACAUCUGUAUUCUUUGCAACUUUUUUGAAUGAGUUCAAGAUUUCAACAUUGUUGUAUGUAGCAGAGUCACAAGGGACUAUUCCAUUUGAGUUUAUUAAAUGACUUUGUAACAAAUCUCCAAUUUCACUAUCCAAUCUUGAAGCCCUAUUGAAAUA